This 396-nucleotide ribosomal RNA is filed under the name uncultured eukaryote. Its description in RNAcentral is "SSU rRNA". It matches the Rfam family "Eukaryotic small subunit ribosomal RNA", at positions 587 to 972 of the family's 1831-position model. The record is from RNAcentral.
AGCUCCAAUAGCAUAUAUUAAAGUUGUUGCAGUUGAAAAGCUCGUAGUCGAAGUUUGUGCCGCUUUUGGGGCCGCUCUGCGCUGGAUUUCGGUCUAGCGCGCUGCAGCCUGGCGGCAUAUGAGGGCGUGAUUGUGCGUGUGGCAUUGAGUUGUUACACGUGUGGUUGCGCAGAUUACUGUGAAAAAAUUAGAGUGUUCCACGCAGGCAUUUUUGCUUGAAUAGAUUAGCAUGGAAUAAUGGAAUAGGACGGUGUUUCCGUUUUGUUGGUUUUAGCGGAUGACGCUGUAAUGAUUAAUAGGGACAGUUGGGGGCAUUAGUAUUUAAUUGUCAGAGGUGAAAUUCACGGAUUUAUGAAAGACUAACUUCUGCGAAAGCAUUUGCCAAGGAUGUUUUCA